AUGGCAUAGUCUCCCUAUGUCAUCAUAAAGCUAGUCAUUCCACAGUAAUGAUUUGCUCUGAGCUUGCAAGAGAGAGGCACGUUUUGUUAAUUGGCUAUGUAACGUUAGGAUUUUGGUCUGAACUGAAACCCUGACUGCGGGAGACAAACAUAUAAUGCAGAAGAUAGGAAGACUUUACUGUUCAGGUGCGAUACUACUCUAUGAUCAAUUUUACAGAUGUGAUGAAGUACCAAGGAUCAAGGAGGCAAUUGCAAAUGGCACAGAAGCCUAAACUAUGCUGGAAGGACUGAAAGCAAUAAAUUAUUCCUCCAAGCUCUACUCUGAAACAAGACCUUUACAAAGUAGACAAUGUGGAGAUCUGUUAGGCAUUUAGCGCUCUAUUCAGUUGGAGCAUACCAUAAAGCUAAACCAGAUCAGUCAAAGGAACCACAGGAGUUUCCAGCUUUAUUUGAUUCAGAGAACCAGAUGAAAAUUUCCUUUACAAAUACAGUAUGUUUGGGCCUUCAGCUAUAGUGAGGUACCACUGGAGAACGAUAGUUUAUCAUUCACAGCAGUGAAAAAGGAGGUCAUACAGGGAUCACCUCUCCAAUGACAUAAACAUGAGACUUUUCUCACAAGCUGUCAAACUUCAAUUGUUGGUGAGAUCUGUUGUGUCAGUGUUUCAUAAUAAUUGCUUCUAAGUCUUGUUAAAAGUCUAACACAAAUUACCUGAGUGACAUGCUUUUGGCACCAGUAAAGGAACGAUGUGGGGAAUGCACGUUGUGUAACAGACUUGCUUAUUACGAUUUUGAGUUUAUUGCCAUAAUUUUACCAUUACUUCCCAUUAUUUGAAAUACCGUAAUAAGAGUUGCAAGUUGUCUCAUGCUCACAAGGAAACAUUUGUUCCCUGGGUAAUAGACUA
This is a long non-coding RNA of Cygnus olor (mute swan), 901 nucleotides long. RefSeq lists it as uncharacterized. The transcript has 4 exons. The record is from RefSeq and is a predicted model, not a curated record. Lineage: Eukaryota; Metazoa; Chordata; Aves; Anseriformes; Anatidae.